RNAcentral lists this ribosomal RNA (253 nucleotides) under uncultured bacterium. RNAcentral describes it as "partial 16S ribosomal RNA". It matches the Rfam family "Bacterial small subunit ribosomal RNA", at positions 524 to 776 of the family's 1533-position model. The record is from RNAcentral.
UACGUAGGGUGCGAGCGUUGUCCGGAAUUAUUGGGCGUAAAGAGCUCGUAGGCGGUUUGUCGCGUCUAUCGUGAAAACUGGAGGCUUAACCUUCAGCUUGCGGUGGAUACGGGCAGACUUGAGUUCGGUAGGGGAGACUGGAAUUCCUGGUGUAGCGGUGAAAUGCGCAGAUAUCAGGAGGAACACCGGUGGCGAAGGCGGGUCUCUGGGCCGAUACUGACGCUGAGGAGCGAAAGCGUGGGGAGCGAACAGG